This 1191-nucleotide ribosomal RNA is filed under the name Bacillus thuringiensis. RNAcentral describes it as "bacterial SSU rRNA". It matches the Rfam family "Bacterial small subunit ribosomal RNA", at positions 41 to 1199 of the family's 1533-position model. The record is from RNAcentral. Lineage: Bacteria; Bacillati; Bacillota; Bacilli; Caryophanales; Bacillaceae.
AGGGGGCAGCUAUCAUGCAGUCGAGCGAAUGGAUUAAGAGCUUGCUCUUAUGAAGUUAGCGGCGGACGGGUGAUUAACACGUGGGUAACCUGCCCAUAAGACUGGGAUAACUCCGGGAAACCGGGGCUAAUACCGGAUAACAUUUUGAACUGCAUGGUUCUAAAUUGAAAGGCGGCUUCGGCUGUCACUUAUGGAUGGACCCGCGUCGCAUUAUCUAGUUGGUGAGGUAACGGCUCACCAAGGCGACGAUGCAUAACCAACCUGAGAGGGUGAUCGGCCACACUGGGACUGAGACACGGCCCAGACUCCUACGGGAGGCAGCAAUAGGGAAUCUUCCGCAAUGGACGAAAGUCUGACGGAGCAACGCCGCGUGAGUGAUGAAGGCUUUCGGGUCGUAAAACUCUGUUGUUAGGGAAGAACAAGUGCUAGUUGAAUAAGCUGGCACCUUGACGGUACCUAACCAGAAAGCCACGGCUAACUACGUGCCAGCAGCCGCGGUAAUACGUAUGUGGCAAGCGUUAUCCGGAAUUAUUGGGCGUAAAGCGCGCGCAGGUGGUUUCUUAAGUCUGAUGUGAAAGCCCACGGCUCAACCGUGGAGGGUCAUUGGAAACUGGGAGACUUGAGUGCAGAUGAGGAUAGUGGAAUUCCAUGUGUAGCGGUGAAAUGCGUAGAGAUAUGGAGGAACACCAGUGGCGAAGGCGACUUUCUGGUCUGUAACUGACACUGAGGCGCGAAAGCGUGGGGAGCAAACAGGAUUACAUACCCUGGUAGUCCACGCCGUAAACGAUGAGUGCUAAGUGUUAGAGGGUUUCCGCCCUUUAGUGCUGAAGUUAACGCAUUAAGCACUCCGCCUGGGGAGUACGGCCGCAAGGCUGAAACUCAAAGGAAUUGACGGGGGCCCGCACAAGCGGUGUAGCAUGUGCUUUAAUUCGAAGCAACGCGAAGAACCUUUACCAAGUCUUGACAUCCUCUGAAAACCCUAGAGAUAGGGCUUCUACUCGGGAGCAGAGUGACAAGGUGCUGCAUGGUUGUCGUCAGCUCGUGUCAUGAACAUGGUAGGAUAAGUACCCCGCUAACGAGUCGCAUACCCUGAUCUAGUGCCAUCCAUCUAAAGUUGGGCACUCGUAAGAUGACCUGGCGGUGACAAAGCCGUAAGAAGGUGGGGAUGACGUCCAAUUCAUCGACUGUGGC